RNAcentral lists this transfer RNA (73 nucleotides) under Anaerolineae bacterium. Its description in RNAcentral is "tRNA-Thr". It matches the Rfam family "tRNA". Rfam says of the family: Transfer RNA (tRNA) molecules are approximately 80 nucleotides in length. Lineage: Bacteria; Bacillati; Chloroflexota; Anaerolineae. The record is from RNAcentral.
GCCCACGUAGCUCAGUUGGCAGAGCACGCCCUUGGUAAGGGCGAGGUCAUGGGUUCAAAUCCCAUCGUGGGCU